GGGGAUAACACUUGGAAACAGGUGCUAAUACCGCAUAAUAGUCGACACCGCAUGGUGUUGAUUUGAAAGACGCUUUCGGGUGUCACUGAUGGAUGGACCCGCGGUGCAUUAGCUAGUUGGUGAGGUAACGGCUCACCAAGGCGAUGAUGCAUAGCCGACCUGAGAGGGUGAUCGGCCACACUGGGACUGAGACACGGCCCAGACUCCUACGGGAGGCAGCAGUAGGGAAUCUUCGGCAAUGGACGAAAGUCUGACCGAGCAACGCCGCGUGAGUGAAGAAGGUUUUCGGAUCGUAAAACUCUGUUGUUAGAGAAGAACAAGUAGGAGAGUAACUGCUCUUACCUUGACGGUAUCUAACCAGAAAGCCNCGGCUAACUACGUGCCAGCAGCCGCGGUAAUACGUANGUGGCAAGCGUUGUCCGGAUUUAUUGGGCGUAAAGCGAGCGCAGGCGGUUUCUUAAGUCUGAUGUGAAAGCCCCCGGCUCAACCGGGGAGGGUCAUUGNAAACUGGGANACUUGAGUGCA
RNAcentral lists this ribosomal RNA (525 nucleotides) under uncultured bacterium. RNAcentral's name for it is "bacterial SSU rRNA". It matches the Rfam family "Bacterial small subunit ribosomal RNA", at positions 139 to 650 of the family's 1533-position model. The record is from RNAcentral.